RNAcentral lists this transfer RNA (72 nucleotides) under Actinomadura coerulea. RNAcentral describes it as "tRNA-Gly". Lineage: Bacteria; Bacillati; Actinomycetota; Actinomycetes; Streptosporangiales; Thermomonosporaceae. The record is from RNAcentral.
CGGCGGGUAGCGAAGCGACGUCCCGCGAAUGGCCCCUUCGUGAUAACGCCGGUUCGAAUCCGGCCCCUGCGC